UACAGAGGUCUCGAGCGUUGUUCGGAAUUACUGGGCGUAAAGCGUGCGCAGGCGGCUUUGCAAGGCAGAUGUGAAAUCCCCGGGCUUAACCUGGGAACUGCAUUUGUGACUGCAUGGCUGGAGUGCGGCAGAGGGGGAUGGAAUUCCGCGUGUAGCAGUGAAAUGCGUAGAUAUGCGGAGGAACACCGAUGGCGAAGGCAAUCCCCUGGGCCUGCACUGACGCUCAUGCACGAAAGCGUGGGGAGCAAACAGG
Molecule: ribosomal RNA, 253 nt
Filed under: uncultured bacterium
Lineage: Bacteria
Description: partial 16S ribosomal RNA
Rfam family: Bacterial small subunit ribosomal RNA
Source: RNAcentral